UAAAGCCGAACGUCCUCAAAGCUGUUAUACGCUUCCGAAAGAACGAAGUUCUCCAACGAAAGUAGCUUUAAUUCCCAACCUGACCCCACGAAAGCUGUGAAACAAACUGGGAUUAGAUACCCCAUUAUGCCCAGCCUCAAACUUUGAUAGCACCAUACAUCAGCUAUCCGCCGGGGGACUACGAGCAAUUAGCUUAAAACCCAAAGGACUUGGCGGUGCUUUAGACCCCCCUAGAGGAGCCUGUUCUAGAACCGAUAACCCCCGUUCAACCUCACCCCCUCUUGCCAUUUCCGCCUAUAUACCGCCGUCGUCAGCUUACCCUUUGAAGGACCCAAAGUAGGCCUAAUUAGUAAUACCCAAAACGCCAGGUCGAGGUGUAGCUUACGAGGGGGGAAGAAAUGGGCUACAUUCCCUACAUUAGGGCAUACGGACAGUGUGAUGAAAAACACACUCUUACAAGGAGGAUUUAGUAGUAAGCAGAAAAUAGAGCGUUCUGCUGAAACCGGCCCUGAAGCGCGCACACACCGCCCGUCACUC
RNAcentral lists this ribosomal RNA (537 nucleotides) under Bunocephalus sp. LGC1264. RNAcentral describes it as "partial small subunit ribosomal RNA". It matches the Rfam family "Bacterial small subunit ribosomal RNA", at positions 657 to 1402 of the family's 1533-position model. The record is from RNAcentral. Lineage: Eukaryota; Metazoa; Chordata; Actinopteri; Siluriformes; Aspredinidae.